This 1249-nucleotide long non-coding RNA is filed under the name Mastacembelus armatus (zig-zag eel). RNAcentral's name for it is "lncRNA (ENSMAMG00000028619.1)". Lineage: Eukaryota; Metazoa; Chordata; Actinopteri; Synbranchiformes; Mastacembelidae. The record is from RNAcentral.
AGAAGCCACACCCUCAGCUUAGUAGAAAGCGAUAGUACACAACAAGAGCAGCUGAUUCAGAUUCGUGCGAAGGUAACACGUCCCUUUAAUUUCUUCUUUUAGGACAGAUUCAAUUCUGAAAUGUCUUAAACCGUGCAGCUGAUGAAAUUUGCAUAUUGCAAGACAAGUUAGCCUAAUGUGGGUGUUUCUUCAGGCUGCAUACGUGGAAAGCUGGCAUGGCAAUUUGUUUUUGUUCUUUAGUACUGUAGAUAUUCUUUACUUGGAACAUUUUUGACAUUCCUUUUUUGAUUUGUGAACUGUAUUGAAGAUAAUAUCAUGAGUGAAAACAUGUCUUAAUGUCUUUGUUUAGAUGGGUGCAAUAUUCAACCUGCUUCAGCAGUAUAGACUGGAGUCUUACUACAAUCAGUUUUACCAGUUGGGCGUAAAAGAUGAAAGAGACUUCUUGGAUGGCAUAACAGAGGAGGAUCUAAAUAACAUUGGUUUAAGUCAUGUGGAAAAGAACCGUUUUUCAGCAAUGAAAAACUUCAUUCAAAGACUCGGAACUCCAUUGCGCCAAGUUCAAACUGUGAUGCCUGUGCAAAAAUCAGUGGGAUCAUUCUGUCUACAGUACACGUACCCAAAGUGCCCUCAACCAAAACAUAUCAACGAUAUGGAUCCAGCACAAAACACAGUGGAAUGUCUGAUGUUGAGGAUCUGUCAUCUUGAAAAUGUUGGCAACAACAUAGGAGUCUGUCUCUAUACAAAUGAUGGGAUGCCCUUGACAGAUGAUCCUUUCUUCAACACAUGGUCUUUGAAAGACAGACAUAUUCCAAAUGGAGCUGUCAUCUAUGCCAUAUUUACACCAAGGGAAAACCUGAAACAGGUUCCUCAACUACCAAAACAAAGAGCUGGUGAAACCUAUGGAGACAGUGUGGUUCGAUGCCACAUCAUGCUGAAGGGAGACUAUGAGGUGACAGUGAACUUGGCAAGUGACAACAUGACCAAUCUGAGACUCAAACUGGCAGAUGCAAGUGCAAUCCCAACACAUGUCCUUCAUUACAACUGCAGAGGUCAGAAGUCUGGUGGUGGCACACUGCAGAGCUGUGGGAUCUCUGAGGGGUCAACAGUUGCCUUUUCUUUGUCCUCGUUUUCUGAUGAGACUUCAUACAGUGAGACUGUCUUCAUUAAUGAUGUUGAACCAUCCGUGAAACAAACCCAGAUUGGAAUCAGUGUGUUCUUGUCUUCACUUUAUGCUGUUGUAAGUUUUUAG